UACGGGGGGGGCAAGCGUUGUUCGGAAUUACUGGGCGUAAAGGGCUCGUAGGUGGCCAACUAAGUCACACGUGAAAUCCCUCGGCUUAACCGGGGAACUGCGUUUGAUACUGGAUGGCUUGAGUUUGGGAGAGGGAUGCGGAAUUCCAGGUGUAGCGGUGAAAUGCGUAGAUAUCUGGAGGAACACCGGUGGCGAAGGCGGCAUCCUGGACCAAUACUGACGCUGAGGAGCGAAAGCCAGGGGAGCAAACAGG
This 253-nucleotide ribosomal RNA is filed under the name uncultured bacterium. RNAcentral's name for it is "partial 16S ribosomal RNA". It matches the Rfam family "Bacterial small subunit ribosomal RNA", at positions 524 to 776 of the family's 1533-position model. The record is from RNAcentral.